UGAGCAGAGGGAGUUGAGGAGGAGGGUGACUGGGAGGAGCUGCCUCCUCCUCAGCUGGUUGCUGCAGGGAUUUCGUCCCCUAAGCCAGCCAGGGCUAGCGAAGGCCGGCUUCUCCUGGGGACGGAGCCCUUUGGGAGAAUCCCCUCGUUCCCAUCUAAGGAGGAAAACUGGAACCAAACUGCCAGGUUUGACUUUAGAAAAAUUUAUGAACGAUCUUUCUAAUUUAUCAUCAUCAUCAUCAUCAUCAUCAUCAUCAUCAUCAUCAUUCAGGAAAGUAAGCUGUGAUUAAAAUUGCACUAAACAGAAAGGCCUUCCUCUUCGGCUUGCAGGCAGGUCAUUCUAGGUUUCUGACUCGAAUUAAUUUCUGAUUCUUUGGAUUUCGGCUAGCUUUAGAGGCCAAGAUACUUUGAUGAAAAUAUCUCUAUUCCCGCUUGAAGCCGGUGGCAGGAAGGGACUCCCAAAUCAAUUCUGCUAACUGGAAAUGCUGUCCUUGUAGCUUAGCAAGCAUUGGCGUGGCCGGGUGGUCUUCCAAAAUCUUCAAAAAUCACUAAGCAAUUUGCCCUGUAAGAUGAUGCCUUGCUUUCGGCAGUUCAAUACACUGGUGAAUUGGAAGAGGUGGGUCUUUUCUGGGGGGAGGGGAUAUGAUGGGGUGCGGUGAGUGCAGACUAAAGCGGAGUCCCAGCUGAGCCUGUUCCAGCGAUGGCUCCAGACUCUGGCCAGGUGUGUAAUUGACCCAAUUCUGACAAGCUGUGGGAGGCUGAUGACUUUGAGGAGCUCUUCUGGAAGUUUGGUGUGGGGAUUUGAAUCCAUGUGGCAGCAAGACAGCACCAACUCUGGUUUCGCUCAACUUCGUGGGAGAGAAGAACCACAAGCUUCUGGAGUGAUUCAGCAUCAUGAUCAGUGGCUGCUUUAAUCCACAGGUCUGUUUGAAUCCAGGUGAGCUCAGAGCUGCCCCCUGAAGUUGAGGGGUGAGGUAGCUGGAAAAGGGGUGAGGUAGCUUCCAGCUUCCUCACCCUCUCUCUUCUCUCUCUCUCAACUGUGGAAAUAGAAUGCUGAAGUUUUAAAGGGAGUGGUAAUCUGGGAAAACAACCUGCCUACAGAUUUAUUAUAUUGACUUUUUAGAGAUUAGAAUGCAUCUAAAGACAAAAGAUUACACACUAUAUUCUUCACAGUCACUAGCAAAUACCCCAUGGCUCUCCAUAUCUGGUUAACCACUUGUAUUGCAAAACAAACUGAAGAAACAAACAUAUUUUAAGCUGUUGAAAUCCCCAGUCUGUGUAUUCCUGGCCUUUGAGGCAACACUGAUGUCAAAUAGCCAAGAGAUUUCCAGAUUAACCAGCCUGAAACUGUCACCUGCUUUCCAAAUUCCUCUCUUCAAGACCAGUGUGAGGUCCUGUCUUCCCGGAGAAGGUUUAUUCUGGCAAAGCCAAUUGUUAUGUAUUCUUUUUAUCUUCAGUCUUUGAAUAUCUAAUGUACUUGUGAAAACUGUCUCAUGAGACAGAGUUUAUUUAUUCCUUAAUUUUGCAUUUGUCUCUCUCCAGUCAAUUAUAAACUCUUUAAAAUGAGGGGUGAUGGAAAUGUUGAAUCACUAUAUUGUACACCUGAAACUAAUAUUAUAGUGUAUGUUAACUAA
Molecule: long non-coding RNA, 1633 nt
Organism: Mirounga angustirostris (Northern elephant seal)
Lineage: Eukaryota; Metazoa; Chordata; Mammalia; Carnivora; Phocidae
Exons: 3
Source: RefSeq, a predicted model, not a curated record